CACGGGGGGACUCCUACGGGAGGCAGCAGUAGGGAAUCUUCCGCAAUGGGCGAAAGCCUGACGGAGCAACGCCGCGUGAGCGAAGAAGGCCUUCGGGUUGUAAAGCUCAGUCACUCGGGAAGAGCGACCUAAGGAGUGGAAAGCCUUAGGGGAGACGGUACCGAGGGAGGAAGCCCCGGCAAACUACGUGCCAGCAGCCGCGGUAAUACGUAGGGGGCAAGCGUUGUCCGGAAUCACUGGGCGUAAAGCGUGCGUAGGCGGUUUUUUGGGUCUGGGGUGAAAGUUCAAGGCUCAACCUUGAGAAUGCCUUGGAAACUAGAAGACUUGAGUGCUGGAGAGGCAAGGGGAAUUCCACGUGUAGCGGUGAAAUGCGUAGAGAUGUGGA
Molecule: ribosomal RNA, 385 nt
Filed under: uncultured bacterium
Lineage: Bacteria
Description: bacterial SSU rRNA
Rfam family: Bacterial small subunit ribosomal RNA
Source: RNAcentral